GAAAGCUGUGUGCGGGAAAAUCCCAUGUACGGUUUGGCAAGGGAUUAGAGGAAAUUUUAUUUUCCUCUAAUCUACUCUAC
RNAcentral lists this non-coding RNA (80 nucleotides) under Clostridium magnum DSM 2767. The record is from RNAcentral. Lineage: Bacteria; Bacillati; Bacillota; Clostridia; Eubacteriales; Clostridiaceae.